UGUUGUACUGUUAUAUCACUGUCCCAGGUUAGGGGAGGGUUGGGAUCCCGCUAACAUGUUUAACCCAGCCACAUUAUUUAUGUAUGUGCCUGUCCCAAGUCAGGAGCCUGUAAUUCAGUGGUUGUCGUUUGUUUAUGUGUUACAUAUUUGUUUUUCGUUCAUUUUUUUUACAUAAAUAAGGCCGUUAGUUUUCUCGUUUGAAUUGUUUUACAUUGUCUUAUCGGGGCCUAUUAUAACUGACUAUGCGGUAUGGGCUUUGUUCACUGUUGAAGGCCGUACGGUGACCUAUAGUUGUUAAUGUC
This 302-nucleotide long non-coding RNA is filed under the name Mytilus galloprovincialis (Mediterranean mussel). Lineage: Eukaryota; Metazoa; Mollusca; Bivalvia; Mytilida; Mytilidae. The record is from RNAcentral.